This 462-nucleotide long non-coding RNA is filed under the name Cyanistes caeruleus (blue tit). RNAcentral describes it as "lncRNA (ENSCCEG00000018101.1)". Lineage: Eukaryota; Metazoa; Chordata; Aves; Passeriformes; Paridae. The record is from RNAcentral.
UUUUCUCCACGCCUUCUUCCAGGCAUCAAAGCUGCAGUGCCCAUGGGUUGUGACCACAGGGGAGUUGUGUUGCAUCUGCAAAUCUCUGCUGUACAUCAAGAGCACAUCUGAACAGAGCCACUGUGGACACUGAAGAGCUGGAGAGGACAUUGCGGAGGUUCGGAGGCACACCGUGAUGGUGGGAGCCAUUCCACGGCAGCCACGCCGCUUCUGGGGGGUGCCUGACUGGCAGGUGUCUUCAGCUAAUUGUGCCAACGACCGCCUGCUGCAGGGCAGGGAGGUUAAUCCGGAGCAAAGCAGGGUCCUGAUGCAGAGGGAUGCUGUGCUGCAGAGCACCUCGUAGUAGAGGGCUCACACAGAGAUCCUGAGUGAGAGAGGGCCCAGCUCACACCCCCUGCCCUUGCACCCUGACCUGUGGCACUUUACAGUCCCCCUCCUGCUGCUGCAUGGGCUCCACUGGGA